UUUUUUUAAAUAACGGUCUUCUUGCUAUUAAGUUAUUUCCAAUAUUGAAAUUUUUGAUUUGACGGUUGACUCCUUUAGACUUGAUUUAGAAUAUUAAAAUAUUUAGAAUAUAAAUUUUAUAAUUUUUCAAUAUCUUUUACUUAAUGGUCAAAAUGAUUCAAAAUCAAUGACUGAACGUAAAAAUCUUACAAAGAAUGAUGAUAUAAAACUAAAAUUUUAGAUUAAAUAUAUUAAUCUUAAUUAUUUUAUACAGUAUAAUUUUUUUAUUAAUAUUUUACUUGAUUUAGAUAUUUUUACAUAUAAACUUGCAAAUGGCUCAUCACGACUGUUAAAAUUAUUGAUUAGGGGCAUCUUCAAUCAUUAGGUAAGUGAAAUUGAAAAAUUGUGAAAUUUACUUUUUAGGCACUUUAAAUAUUUUAGAUCAAAUCUAACGGACACGAUUAUCGAUUCGAAAGUGCUAGCAUCAAUAACGACUUGAUAUAAUGGAGACCGUCGUACUUCUAAAAGCACACAAACCUAAUAUUUUCUCUCCAUAUAGAAAGAGAGAGUAAAAGUAGAAUACUAUUGAUAGUGUGGCAGUAUGAGAAUAGUGUUUACUAUUAACUUUUUGACCAUUAGAUAUCUAGAGUUUAGGAAAGGUUGGUAAAAUAGUGAUAAGCCAAGGGUGAAAAAAUUGAUAGUAAAUACUAUUUGUAUACUAUUAGUAGCAUACUCCAAUGUUUUUUUUCGGAGCUGAAAUACUUUUAUAAGU
This 751-nucleotide long non-coding RNA is filed under the name Ananas comosus (pineapple). Its description in RNAcentral is "long non-coding RNA (ACOM_LNC004463)". The record is from RNAcentral. Lineage: Eukaryota; Viridiplantae; Streptophyta; Magnoliopsida; Poales; Bromeliaceae.